This 428-nucleotide long non-coding RNA is filed under the name Homo sapiens (human). RNAcentral's name for it is "RBMS3 antisense RNA 2 (RBMS3-AS2)". Lineage: Eukaryota; Metazoa; Chordata; Mammalia; Primates; Hominidae. The record is from RNAcentral.
GUAGAGCACCUUCUCUGAGCACUAGCUGGAACACGGCGGCUCUUCUUUCUUCCACUCUGAGACAAGAACACAUGCGCUUUUCCUAGUUUCGCUCUUGUGGCCCAGUCUGGAGUGCAGUGGCACCAUCUCAGCUCAUUGCAACCUCCGCCUCCCCGGUUCAAGCGAUUCUCCUGCCUCAGCCUCCCGAGUAGCUGGGAUUACAGGCACCCGCCACCAUGCCCAGCUAAGUUUUUGUAUUUUUAGUAGAGACGGGGUUUCGCCAUGUUAGCCAGGAUGGUCUCGAGGUCCUGACCUCGUGAUCUGCCCACCUCAGCCUCCCAAAGUGCUGGGAUUACAGGCGUGAGCCACCCCGCCCGGGCAAUUUGUAAAUUUUUAAGAAACGCCCUUUGUUGUACACAAAUUAGACUUCAAUAAAGUUAGCCUUAAAA